GGGCAAGUGAAAAAGAAAAAAAUUGAUCCAUUUUUAGUUUGAAGCUUUGAAUGAAUCAAAAACAAAUGCCGUUUUUCACCUUCUAUCUUCCUUCUCUCUACAAAAAUCAUACCAUCAUUAUCAAUUUUCUCUAUCUAGAUUAGAUCUCCGAUCACAUAUACACAUAUUUCAUUUGUUUUCGAUCAUACUAAAUGGAGCAGUUGACGAUCGGCGAU
Molecule: unclassified non-coding RNA, 215 nt
Filed under: Hevea brasiliensis (rubber tree)
Lineage: Eukaryota; Viridiplantae; Streptophyta; Magnoliopsida; Malpighiales; Euphorbiaceae
Source: RNAcentral